CGCCCUGCUGAGCGCGAAGGAAGAGAUCCAAGAGAUCAAGAGCAAGGAGGCAGAAUCAAGUGCUUCAAGUGUGGACGUGAAGGUCACCAUCAGGCAACCUGUGCUAAUCCUCCUCUUUGUUACUCUUGCCACAGCUCUGGUCACAUUGCUUCUAACUGCCCUAUGAGUUUGUCUAAAAGAGGUGUUAAGUUGUGUGGUUUUGGCAUACCAGGUCAGGGGUUCUAUAGUCUUCAUGUAGAUGCUACUGAGACUAGUGGUGCUAGAACCCCAGUGAGAGGUAUAUUGACUGUGAUUCAGGGUGUUGCUACGGUUCCCAAAAUUAUCAAUGAGCUGAAAAAUCUUUUCUUGGGCCUUCAGUGGGAUUGGAAAGUAAAGCAGCUAAGUGAUAAAGAGUUCUUGAUUUCUUUCCCAUCUGAAGAUGUCAGGAGCAAGAUCUCUACUUGUAAGAGCUUUGGUUUUGAUACUUGUUCCAUUAAGGCUAGUGUUGUUGAGACAGGAAUGACUGAGGAGGCAAUUGAUGAGUUGGCCGUUUUAGCAAGAGCUAAAGAGUCGGUGAAGGCAAUAGUUGAGCUGAUUGGAGAGUUUGAAGCAAUUGAUCACAAUAGCUUGAGAAGAAAUGAGCCAGUUAGGGUGAGAGUAGCUUGUAAGGACCCAAGGGAACUCCACUUUGCCAUUCAUGUGUAUAUCAAUAAAGUUGGAUACAUGAUCAGAUGGGAACCUGAGGGUUAUCCACCUUAUGAAGACAAACACGAUCCUUCUGAUGGUGGGGAUGAUGAUGGGGGCAAAGAUGAUACCAAUGAUGAUAUGAAUUUGGAUGAAGAUCCCAGAGGAAAAUGUCCAAAUAGAGGCAGACAAUCUCAAGAGAAAAGAGCUGAUAAGAAGAGUUCUUUUGGAGCCCACUCUGCUCCCCCCACAUACAAAGGAAAGGUGCAACAACGGGAUUACUCUCCUGCUAGACCAGUGAAGAAGAUUGCCUCCAAGAAACAAUCUCUAUUGUCCCCUAAAGAGUUUUUGCCUGAAGAGAAUGCUCUGGUACUUUGGGAAGAAGAUAAAUUGAAUGUUCAGUUGGAACAAGAGUUACAGGAACUAGAGAUUCCACUAAGUAGGCAACUAUCUCAAGUCAGAGAGGGACCUUCUAGAGUUGAGUUUUCUGAAGAUUCUUGUGGAAGUCACCAUGAAGAGUUAGAGAUGUGUGAUAUACCUUCUCUAUCUGACAUAGUUAGACUGAAAGAGGAAGAGGAGGUUGAUGAGGAUAAUAGUUUCAAGGAGGUGUCAAAUAAGAAAAAAGGGAAGAAAGGGGGUGAACCUACUGUCACCUCUAGAAUGAGCUUGAGACACAGAGACCUGGCGGCCAUCCCUGUCCCUAAGAGAGCUGAGAUCCUGACCCAGAAGAAGAACUUGGAGUCCACA
RNAcentral lists this long non-coding RNA (1410 nucleotides) under Oryza sativa aus subgroup. RNAcentral describes it as "lncRNA OsN22_05G014070". The record is from RNAcentral. Lineage: Eukaryota; Viridiplantae; Streptophyta; Magnoliopsida; Poales; Poaceae.